AGAAUUUGAUCUUGGUUCAGAUUGAAUGCUGGCGGCGUGGAUAAGGCAUGCAAGUCGAACGGACAGUGUUUACACUGUUAGUGGCGAAAGGGUUAGUAACGCGUGAGUGAUUUACCGAUAACACUGGAAUAACACCUGGAAACGGGUGCUAAUACCGGAUGUGGUGCUUGGAAUAAAGGCCAAGUAUUAAAGAUAGUUUAUACCUUCGGUUAUCGAUAAGCUCGCGUCCUAUUAGCUAGUUGGUAGGGUAAUGGCCUACCAAGGCAACGAUGGGUAGGUGAACUGAGAGGUUGUUCACCAACAUUGGCACUGAGACAAGGGCCAGACACCUACGGGUGGCAGCAGCCGAGAAUCAUUCGCAAUGGGCGCAAGCCUGACGAUGCGACGCCGCGUGAACGAAGAAGGUCUUCGGAUUGUAAAGUUCUUUUAUGUGGGAACAAAUUGCAUGUAUUAAUAGUGCAUGCACUGAGCUAACCACUUGAAUAAGCACCGGCUAACUACGUGCCAGCAGCUGCGGUAAUACGUAGGGUGCAAGCAUUAAUCGGAUUUACUGGGCGUAAAGAGCGCGUAGGCGGUCUAAUCAGUCAGUUGUUAAAGCCUAGGGCUCACCCCUAGGAUGCAACUGAAACAGUUAGACUUGAGGGUAUACGGGGAAAACGGAAUUCCAUGAGUAGCGGUGAAAUGCGUAGAUACAUGGAAGAACACCGGUGGCGAAAGCGGUUUUCUAGUAUACUCCUGACGCUGAGGCGCGAGAGCAUGGGUAGCAAACAGGAUUAGAUACCCUGGUAGUCCAUGCUGUAAACGAUGUACACUAGGUGUUGUUAUGCUCAACCGUAACAGUGCCGUAGCUAACGCGUUAAGUGUACCGCCUGAAUAGUACGCCCGCAAGGGUGAAACUCAAAAGAAUUGACGGGGACCCGCACAAUCAGUGGAGCAUGGGGUUUAAUUCGAUGAUACGCGAAGAACCUUACCCACUCUUGACAUGUCCAUCGCGACUUUGUGAGAACAAAGUCUUCGGUUCGGCCGGAUGGAACACAGGUGCUGCAUGGCUGUCGUCAGCUCGUGCCGUGAGGU
This 1074-nucleotide ribosomal RNA is filed under the name metagenome. Its description in RNAcentral is "bacterial SSU rRNA". It matches the Rfam family "Bacterial small subunit ribosomal RNA", at positions 8 to 1073 of the family's 1533-position model. The record is from RNAcentral.